This is a small nucleolar RNA of Nannospalax galili (Upper Galilee mountains blind mole rat), 135 nucleotides long. NCBI's taxonomy places the organism in Eukaryota, Metazoa, Chordata, Mammalia, Rodentia, Spalacidae. The record is from Ensembl.
UUGACCUUGACUCAGGGCCAAUCAACAGUUUGCUGAAGCUGUUGGUUUCAAGCAGGUGCUAAAGAGAAGUCUUUCUAUGGUCUGUUCGGCAUUUCAGAAAUUUGGAAAUGGUCAGUUCAUUAGAAAGAAACAUUU